Long non-coding RNA from Etheostoma cragini (Arkansas darter), 118 nucleotides. RefSeq lists it as uncharacterized. The record is from RefSeq and is a predicted model, not a curated record. The transcript is spliced from 3 exons. Lineage: Eukaryota; Metazoa; Chordata; Actinopteri; Perciformes; Percidae.
AUACUAAUUUAUUAAAAAGAAAAUGGGGGAACAUAGGGCCUAAUUUUGAAAAAAAACAUAGAAAUGUGGGAACAUAGGCAUGUGGGAACAUAGGCAAGCUCUCGUAACGGCAGCUGAG